AGUAUGAAAGGCAAAAUGAGGGCCUCACUGUCUCUUAUAGUAAAUCAAUUAAACUGAUCUCCUAGUAAAAAAGCUAGAAUACACUCAUAAGACCAGAAGACCCUGUGAAGCUUAAACUAAACUAUUAAACCACAUAAUAACUACUUUUGGUUGGGGCGACCUUGGAAAACAAAAGAACUUCCAAAAUUAUUACCCAUUGGGGGAAUAUGCCAGGCCAACAAGCCUAUUAAACGACCCAGCACAGCUGACAAUUGAACCAAGUUACUCCAGGGAUAACAGCGCCAUCUUCUUCAAGAGUCCAUAUUAAAAAGAAGGUUUACGACCUCGAUGUUGGAUCAGGACAUCCUAAUGGUGCAGCAGCUAUUAAGGGUUCGUUUGUUCAACGAUUAAUAGU
Molecule: ribosomal RNA, 394 nt
Filed under: Rhadinaea vermiculaticeps
Lineage: Eukaryota; Metazoa; Chordata; Lepidosauria; Squamata; Dipsadidae
Description: partial 16S ribosomal RNA
Rfam family: Bacterial large subunit ribosomal RNA
Source: RNAcentral